RNAcentral lists this ribosomal RNA (836 nucleotides) under Escherichia coli. RNAcentral describes it as "partial 23S ribosomal RNA". It matches the Rfam family "Bacterial large subunit ribosomal RNA", at positions 354 to 1194 of the family's 2925-position model. The record is from RNAcentral. Lineage: Bacteria; Pseudomonadati; Pseudomonadota; Gammaproteobacteria; Enterobacterales; Enterobacteriaceae.
GCGAUACAGGGUGACAGCCCCGUACACAAAAAUGCACAUGCUGUGAGCUCGAUGAGUAGGGCGGGACACGUGGUAUCCUGUCUGAAUAUGGGGGGACCAUCCUCCAAGGCUAAAUACUCCUGACUGACCGAUAGUGAACCAGUACCGUGAGGGAAAGGCGAAAAGAACCCCGGCGAGGGGAGUGAAAAAGAACCUGAAACCGUGUACGUACAAGCAGUGGGAGCACGCUUAGGCGUGUGACUGCGUACCUUUUGUAUAAUGGGUCAGCGACUUAUAUUCUGUAGCAAGGUUAACCGAAUAGGGGAGCCGAAGGGAAACCGAGUCUUAACUGGGCGUUAAGUUGCAGGGUAUAGACCCGAAACCCGGUGAUCUAGCCAUGGGCAGGUUGAAGGUUGGGUAACACUAACUGGAGGACCGAACCGACUAAUGUUGAAAAAUUAGCGGAUGACUUGUGGCUGGGGGUGAAAGGCCAAUCAAACCGGGAGAUAGCUGGUUCUCCCCGAAAGCUAUUUAGGUAGCGCCUCGUGAAUUCAUCUCCGGGGGUAGAGCACUGUUUCGGCAAGGGGGUCAUCCCGACUUACCAACCCGAUGCAAACUGCGAAUACCGGAGAAUGUUAUCACGGGAGACACACGGCGGGUGCUAACGUCCGUCGUGAAGAGGGAAACAACCCAGACCGCCAGCUAAGGUCCCAAAGUCAUGGUUAAGUGGGAAACGAUGUGGGAAGGCCCAGACAGCCAGGAUGUUGGCUUAGAAGCAGCCAUCAUUUAAAGAAAGCGUAAUAGCUCACUGGUCGAGUCGGCCUGCGCGGAAGAUGUAACGGGGCUAAACCAUGCAC